UUUUUUUUUUUUUUUUUUGGUCUUUUUAAGGGUGCACCUGCGGCAUAUGGAUGUUCGCAGGCUAGGGGUUGAACUGCAGCUGUAGCCACCGGCCUACGCCAGAGCCACACAACACGGGAGCCCAGCCGAGUCUGUGACCAACACCUCUGCUUACAGCAACACCGGAUCCUUAACCCACUGAGUGAGGCCAGAGAUUGAACCUGCAUCCUCAUGGAUACUAGUCAGAUUUGUUUCCCCUGAGCCACGAUGGGAACUCCUGUAAUUGGCUGCUGGACCCAUUGGCUUCUAGACCCGCCUACAGUGGGUUGGGCUUCCCUGGCUCUCAUGUGUGGAGGGUCCAGUGCCAGACCCGAGGCAGGAGUGGGGCUGGGGCGUCCACCCUGGGGAGGCAGGGGUGGGGUCAUCCCAGCUCCUUCCCUUGGUCCCUGUUGGACUCCUGGUCUUGGAACUAGAUGCUCAGCCAGAGCUAGGUCUCACCCAGGGGGUUUCAGACUUUCUGAACCUUUAAAUGUAGCCACACACACACACACACACACACACACACACACCGGAUGACACUUUGGCCCACUGGCUUGCUGGCAUGAUUCUGGAUUUCAGGUGGGAAUAAAUACAUUCUACCGGAGGCCUCACUGGACAAGGUGAAGGCACCUCAGAGGUCACGGAGGUCAGGGGUCACGAUGUCAAAUACGGAAGAAAGCCCCUGGUGGGGGAUAGAAAGCCAGAGCCAGACCCCGUCUCCCUGCCCCGUUUCGGUCUGUUGGCUUUUAAGCAUAACACACAGAGAAACGUGCCCAGAGCGUCCACGAGUAGGUGAAUGAGUGCCCGUGAGUGUGUGAAUUUUCACACACUGAACGCCUGUGUCACCAGCACCUGUGAAGGCCCCUGGCAUCUGUGUCACUUCUUGUAAGUGAGAUUAUACAGUGGGAAUUUUGUGUCUGGCUGGUGUAACGCAUUAUCAUGGCUGGGAGGUUCCCCCACGUUGUUGCCUGUUGUAGUAGAUGACUCAUUCUCAUUGCUGUAAAGUACUCCUUUGGGUGGAAAUCCAACACUUUGCCCAUUCUACUGCUGCUGGGCUUCUGGGUAAUUAUAAAUAGAGAGCUGCUCUGCUACUUACAGUAGCCAAGACAUGGAUGCAACCUCAAAGUCCUUUGACAGGUGAAUGGAUAAAAAAGAUGCGGUACAUAUACACACAAUGGAAUAUUACUCAGCCAUAAAAAAGAACGAAAUAACGCUAUUUGCAGCAAUAUAGACGGACCAGAAAUGAUCAUAC
RNAcentral lists this long non-coding RNA (1270 nucleotides) under Sus scrofa (pig). RNAcentral's name for it is "lncRNA (ENSSSCG00015064182.1)". The record is from RNAcentral. Lineage: Eukaryota; Metazoa; Chordata; Mammalia; Artiodactyla; Suidae.